UUGGAGGGCAAGUCUGGUGCCAGCAACCGCGGUAAUUCCAGCUCCAAUAGCGUAUAUUAAAGUUGUUGCAGUUAAAAAGCUCGUAGUUGAAUUUCGGGAUCAAUAUUUCGGUCAUGCCGUUGGUAUGCACUGUUAUCAUUGAUUUCUCACCUUCUAAAGAACCGUAAUGCCAUUAAUUUGGUGUUACGGGGAAUUAGGACUGUUACCUUGAAAAAAUUAGAGUGUUUAAAGCAGGCUCACGCUUGAAUACAUUAGCAUGGAAUAAUGAAAUAGGACAUCCGAUUCUAUUUUGUUGGUUUCUAGGAUCGAUGUAAUGAUUAAUAGGGAUAGUUGGGGGCAUUAGUAUUCAAUUGUCAGAGGUGAAAUUCUUGGAUUUAUUGAAGACUAACUACUGCGAAAGCAUUUGCCAAGGAUGUUUUCAUUAAUCAAGAACGAAAGUUAGGGGAUCGAAGACGAUCAGAUACCGUCGUAGUCUUAACCAUAAACUAUGCCGACUAGGGAUCGGAUGAUGUUAAUUUUUUAAUGACUCAUUCGGCGCCUUACGGGAAACA
This 551-nucleotide ribosomal RNA is filed under the name Funneliformis mosseae. RNAcentral's name for it is "SSU rRNA". It matches the Rfam family "Eukaryotic small subunit ribosomal RNA", at positions 548 to 1099 of the family's 1831-position model. The record is from RNAcentral. Lineage: Eukaryota; Fungi; Glomeromycota; Glomeromycetes; Glomerales; Glomeraceae.